This 497-nucleotide ribosomal RNA is filed under the name uncultured bacterium. RNAcentral's name for it is "partial 16S ribosomal RNA". It matches the Rfam family "Bacterial small subunit ribosomal RNA", at positions 28 to 507 of the family's 1533-position model. The record is from RNAcentral.
GAUGAACGCUGGCGGCGUGCCUAAUACAUGCAAGUCGAGCGAACAGACGAGGAGCUUGCUCCUCUGACGUUAGCGGCGGACGGGUGAGUAACACGUGGAUAACCUACCUAUAAGACUGGGAUAACUUCGGGAAACCGGAGCUAAUACCGGAUAAUAUAUUGAACCGCAUGGUUCAAUAGUGAAAGACGGUUUUGCUGUCACUUAUAGAUGGAUCCGCGCCGCAUUAGCUAGUUGGUAAGGUAACGGCUUACCAAGGCAACGAUGCGUAGCCGACCUGAGAGGGUGAUCGGCCACACUGGAACUGAGACACGGUCCAGACUCCUACGGGAGGCAGCAGUAGGGAAUCUUCCGCAAUGGGCGAAAGCCUGACGGAGCAACACCGCGGGAGUGAUGAAGGUCUUCGGAUCGUAAAACUCUGUUAUUAGGGAAGAACAAAUGUGUAAGUAACUAUGCACGUCUUGACGGUACCUAAUCAGAAAGCCACGGCUAACUACGUG